AGUUUGAUCCUGGCUCAGAUUGAACGCUGGCGGCAUGCUUUACACAUGCAAGUCGAACGGUAACAGGGUGCUUGCACCGCUGACGAGUGGCGAACGGGUGAGUAAUGCAUCGGAAUGUACCGUGUAAUGGGGGAUAGCUCGGCGAAAGCCGGAUUAAUACCGCAUACGCCCUGAGGGGGAAAGUGGGGGACCGAAAGGCCUCACGUUAUACGAGCAGCCGAUGUCUGAUUAGCUAGUUGGUGAGGUAAAGGCUCACCAAGGCGACGAUCCGUAGCGGGUCUGAGAGGAUGAUCCGCCACACUGGGACUGAGACACGGCCCAGACUCCUACGGGAGGCAGCAGUGGGGAAUUUUGGACAAUGGGCGCAAGCCUGAUCCAGCCAUGCCGCGUGUCUGAAGAAGGCCUUCGGGUUGUAAAGGACUUUUGUCAGGAAGGAAAACCUAUUGGCUAAUAUCCAGUGGGGAUGACAGUACCUGAAGAAUAAGCACCGGCUAACUACGUGCCAGCAGCCGCGGUAAUACGUAGGGUGCAAGCGUUAAUCGGAAUUACUGGGCGU
This 556-nucleotide ribosomal RNA is filed under the name uncultured Chromobacterium sp. RNAcentral's name for it is "bacterial SSU rRNA". It matches the Rfam family "Bacterial small subunit ribosomal RNA", at positions 10 to 561 of the family's 1533-position model. The record is from RNAcentral. Lineage: Bacteria; Pseudomonadati; Pseudomonadota; Betaproteobacteria; Neisseriales; Chromobacteriaceae.